CGGAUUGUAGUCUGCAACCCGACUACAUGAAGCUGGAAUCGCUAGUAAUCGCAGGUCAGCAUACUGCGGUGAAUACGUUCCCGGGUCUUGUACACACCGCCCGUCACACCAUGGGAGCCGGUAACACCCGAAGUCGGUAGCCUAACCGUAAGGAGGGCGCCGCCGAAGGUGGGAUUGAUGACUGGGGUGAAGUCGUAACAAGGUAUC
This 207-nucleotide ribosomal RNA is filed under the name uncultured bacterium. RNAcentral describes it as "partial 16S ribosomal RNA". It matches the Rfam family "Bacterial small subunit ribosomal RNA", at positions 1294 to 1500 of the family's 1533-position model. The record is from RNAcentral.